UUUUUUGUAGACGGAGUCUCCUCUGUCACCCAGGCUGGAAUGCAGUGGCAUGAUCUUGGCUCACUGAAACCUCCACUUCCUGGGUUCAAGUGAUUCUCCUGCCUCAGCCUCCUGAGUAGUUGGGAUUACAGGCACCCACCACCAUGCCCGGCUAAUUUUUGUACUUUUAGUAGAGAUGGGGUUUCACUAUGUUGGUCAGGCUAAUCUGGAACUCCCGACCUCAGGUAAUCCACCUGCCUUGGCCUCCCAAAAUGCUGGGAUUACAGGUGUGAGCCACCACACCCAACCAAUGUGGUAGCUUUAGGUCAACAUGAUUGCACACCCAGAACUAGAUCUUUCCAAUAUCCCAGAAUAGACUGUGUAAAGAGAGCCAGGUAACUGCUCCACAUUGGGAGAAGGCAGAAAUUAAAUAUGAGGCAGACAGGAACUCCAUAUUGGCAGCAGAAACUGAAAGAUGAAUCAAAAAAGCCAUUGAGCAAAUGUCAUCAGGCAAUAGAAUCCAUAAGUAAGCAGAGCCUUUAGGUAAAGAAGAGAAGCAUAGACACGGCAGAAGUGAAGAGCUAGAAAAAUUGUAUCACAAGAACGUUGGAGUGCCUGAAGCACAGAAUACUGGAUGCUGGAUUGGCAGAGGUGCUGGUAUCCAAAACCCAGCCAGUGUGCACCUCAAAAGAAUCCAAGUGGACAUUGCCACCACCCAGCAGGCUCUUCUCAGAUCAGAAGCUCCCUUUUGUCAGCAGACUUUCACAUCAGCCCCAUGAGACACCAAUCUGAUCCUUCCAAAUGUGGCUCCACACACCUUGGGAAACUGUCCCACCCAGAGUGCUGUCAUUUCUACCGCACUAUGUCUGGAGACUUUGCCUGGCUCAGGCCUUCCUUAGACUCUAGGCUGGGUCAGCUUCCAAAGUACGCCUUUGACAGUGAAAAAUUCCACUUGAAGAUAUGUGAGACAGCUUGCACAAUAAUUUGUCUAAGGACUGUUUAUUGGUGAUGGAUUGAGAGUCUGGUGAAGGGGAUCAGAAUAUACCACCCCCAAAUAUGCCACUUUGGCAUAAGGAUUAUUUUGAGGUUAAAGCAAUUGAGAAAUAGCAGAUUCAGAAGGAACUCUACCCUCCCCUUCUCUGCCUAAAAGUAGGGUAAAUAUAACAAAUUGCCAUUUGUAAAAGUAUCUUCCUUCCCCUCUCCCAUACCAGAAGGCAGAGAACAACCAGUGUCACAGGAGCUGGCAAGUCAGCACUGAGACAAGUCUGCACAAACAAACCUUACUACCAUAACCCUUUUCUUCAAUUAGCUUCCCCCAUAUAUUUACCCUCCCACAAUGUACCACCAUUAGAAGCCCAAGCCCCUUUUCCUUUGUCAUAUCAUUUCUCCAGAAUUUAUCACCCUUUGUUAAGAUGAUAUAUAAGCUCUUAGGCCUGACUGAUUUGGGUUUUCACUUCUUUCCUGUGACACCUCCCUCCCUAUGUGCAUAUAAAAUAACUUUUUAUUAAUCUGUCAUUUGUCAGUUUAAGUCACAGGCCCCAGUCCCUAAACCCAAGAGGGUAUAGGAAAAGUUUUUUUCUUCCUCUACAUCUAGAACCUCCUGCCCGUAU
Molecule: long non-coding RNA, 1589 nt
Filed under: Macaca fascicularis (crab-eating macaque)
Lineage: Eukaryota; Metazoa; Chordata; Mammalia; Primates; Cercopithecidae
Description: lncRNA (ENSMFAG00000065368.1)
Source: RNAcentral